GCACCAUACAAAAGUGAGAAGUGAGAACGGAGACGUUAACUGGCACGACUCCCCAGUUAAAGCUGUGGUUGUUUACCGGUGAGAAGAGAAGAGCGCUGCCUGCCAACGCCGACCGCCAUCCCAUCUCCCUACUGCCGGCUCCCCCCAAGUGUUUAUUUAAGCCAACACAUUGCUCUGCUAAUUGGAUAACAUUCCAUGUGAAAACAGACCUUUUAAAACAACAGCAGCGGUGGCAAAUAAAAACAGCUGCAACUGCAAAAGUACAAAGGCUCGGUGGGCUCCGGGAAGGGAGAAAUUAAAGGCGCAUGCAUGGGGGAAAAAAAAAAAAAGAAUGUUCUGGUUUCCAGGCUGCAAGUCUGCUCUUUGCUUUCUUUCCCUUCUUCCUCCGUGACCAGCCAGUCCAAGUAAAGGCAGAGGAGGUGGUGGCUUCUAAACGGAAGCCCAGUGACUAUUGGUGGCCGCUUGGCCAGUGGGCACGGGCACAGCUGGUUGGGAAUCCCAGGUUACCUGCCCAGGUAGAAAGCUGCUGUCUCCAAGGCUUGGGACGGUUGGCAGGAGACAGUGUGCGGCUCUGGAGGCCCCUAAAGGAAUGCCCACUCCUCCUCUGGGGGCCCCGGAGGAGCUGAUUUCAUCCUGGGCUUGUUCCCAAGAGAUGUUUUAAGGGCCAACCUCUUGGCCUUCCUCCAAAUGUCUAAUUGGUGAGUUGCUGGGGAUGGGUGAGAGGUGAGGGGUGUGGUGUAGAGAGGAAGGGGGCUGGCGCACGGUUUGGCCGCAGCUGGCACUCAACUUAAGUGAAUACGUGAAUGAAGGGAGGAAGAGCUAAUCCGUGGACUCUGGAAUCAGAUCGACACGCGGGGUUUCCCAGCUCUGGCACGUGGCGCCAACCCUUCGAACCUCAGUUUACCCAUCUGUCAAAUGGCUUCCUCCCGCUGACGUGUCAAAUGCCCAGUGCCGUCCCUGCCAAAGACGGGCUUUUAGAAGUUGAUGGUUUUUUACUGAUGCCAAGAGGCUGCCCUUCCAGAAACAUCAUCAGGACCCAGAGAAACACGUGGCACCUGAGACACUACAAACAUCCCUACACACAAGCGCAGGCCCAGGCACUGGGGAAGACCACCUUAUUUGGGACUUCCUGUCUGCCCUCAUUGACCUUUGUCCCUGCUUCCCUCCAGCGCGUGGGAGAAGGUUCUUUGAGAAAUGUGGGCUCAUCACACUUGGAGGUUUAGAUAAUAAUAACAGCAGCCCUUUCAGAGGGACUGACAUUCAUGCCUGGGACAUCGGGGGCUGAUGAAAUGCCCUAGGUUGGGAUAACAUGCCAGCUCACGGAGCCUGUGACGGGGGCUGACGGCCAGGUCCCACCCCUGGUUUAGCAUCUCAGCAACAGAGCCAGGUCCCGGCUUCCCAUUGGUUCCCAGGACCCUGCACACAUGGAGCUUAACAAGCGCCUGGAGAAACCGGGGAGGGAGUUAUGCAAAUCUCCAGCUGAGUCCGGGGCUGCUGCAGGUUGGGACGAGACAAUGCGUGUACGGUGUACAUGUCACACACAAAGCCAGCUCGGCCGGUCGCGGGCGCCUCUGGCUAUUGUCAUCAGUUGCCUGGUUACCCUGAGCUCUUCGUGGAGCCUUGCGCUAGGAUUCUCUUCCCUGUUUGGGGCGUGUGCUUGACCCAGAGGGGCCUGACGGAUGACGGAGUUCCCGAGGAUGUGCGGGGUGGAACAUGGGGUCAUGGAGCAAGGUCGGAAGACUCAGGGUCCCUGGGGGCGGGGAGGACGCAGAUGACCCGUGCUUGGGGCCCAAAGAGAGAUGGGGGUGCUGAGCGGAUGCCUCCAGGGACCAACCAGGGUGCCUAAUUCUCUCCUCAGCCAGCUGGCAAAGUGGACUGGUUGGUGCCCAGGAAAGAGUACUGUGCUGUGAGUCACAUCCCCGGGUUCACAGCCCAGCCUGGAAACUGCUAGUUUCUCCACUGCUUUCCAGACCCAAGGUGCUACAAUCGGCCUCUACUCCCUCCCUGCCUCCUCCCCCUAAUAUGUGUCCGCUCCCCUCAUCUUUUCCUCCCUGUCUCCUCUUUUCCCCUCUGAGGACCGCCUGGCGCCCCGGGGCACAGGAGGCUUACACCUCCAGGUUCCAGUGCUCUGACACCACAAGAGUUACUGACCACUAUCUUCCUGGAGGACGCCCCACGGCAGGAAGCAGGGGUGAAGCCCUCGGUGAGGGAGGCGAGUGGUCAGGGUUCAGUCAAGCCCCGGGAAGGAUUUCUAAAGCAGGUCUUCUUCCCUGAAGCGCUUCAAAGGGAGAACCGCUGGGGGUGGUCGUGGGGUGGUGGGCGGCGCUUGUCCUGAGAAACUGGGGGUCCUGGAGGUUCCCCUACCAGCCCUGGGAUUCCCACGAGUUCCUUCUUUCGAAAUGAAAAUAGGGUCUCUGGGGGUUUCUAACUCAAUGUCUCCUUCCAGCAUUGCUUUCCCUCUUCAAACUCACGCCUGCCCUCGAGCUAACCAGAUAUUUACAAUAUUCAGAAUUCUAUUCACCAACAUGCAGCGCGCACGCUCUAUGGCGCAGUGGAGAGCGCCAAAUGUUCCACUCGGGGGACAAUAAAGUUCUUCAGACAGACAGGGAGAAGGAAAAGUCACGGCAGCUUCUCCGGGAAGCAAAAAGAGCAAAGGAAUCUUUGCGGGAGAGAUCACCACCAUCACCAACCGCCUCAUCACAGCUAACAGACGGAGCUCACGGAGGCCAGAUACCGUCCUAAGACUAUCAUCUCAUCCCAGCCUCGCAACGAUUCGAUGGAGGGCUCUGAAGGGACCUGGGCUGGUGGGAACGAGGAGGAAACAGCUCACUCAUCUCGAGCACCGUGUGCCAGGACCCGUGUCACCAUAUCUGCCUUCACCCUGUGGGCGUGGGACCUGUCAUCCUUCCCAUUUUACAGAUGAGGAGACUGAGGCACAGGGCAGGGCCGGGGAAGCCAAGCAGCCAGCAGUAAGUGCAGUGCUCUGGACGGCUGUUCCCUGGCUUCUGAGCCAGUGGCGGGGGGACCCCGCAGGUGCCUGCCUUGCUGGUGAGCGUCAAGGCCGUGGGCCGGCUGCACGCAGGGGUUGUGGUCCCUCCUGUCACGACAGGAGGCGAGGGGAAGACUGCCAGCCGAGAAGAAAGAGGCGCAGAUGUCUGGACAAACAUGGCCACGUGUCAACAAAGCGUGCACUUGAGUUCAAGACGCUGAGACAAAGGUGGCUGGCAGGCCUGCUGAAGUCCUGGGGCACCCUCUCUGCCUGUGCGUGUUCCCAGGGCCCACAAAGGCCGCAGCUGUGUCCCUGAGAUGACACCUUCAGCUCCACCCACAGGGCCUCUGGCAACGCCAAUUUGCUGCUGGCCAAGAGUGUGAUUCCAACAAAUACUCUGCUUUUCUGAAGACGCCUCCGCAGAGGCGGGGGGAUCCCAGCCGUUAGUGACACGCGCCCCUUUGCUUUACUGCACCCUCAAGGGAAGACAGGCCAGGGCGGGGAAGGCUGCCUGCGGCACAGGCUCUCGGAGGGAGCCCACGAAGACGGCGCCAUGGCCCCUCCCCCCAGGAUCCUGACCUGGGACUGUGACAGCAGCAACCGCGGACCCCGGUCACACAGCCUCUGCCCCUGGUCUGCUGCCGCGGAGGACGAGGACCCCGGACCUACUGCGCCAAGCCCACACCCAGAGAGGCUGCCUUGCUUCAAAAAUAAAAGGUGGUUCUGUCUCCAAGGAAUUCCGUACACGUGCUUACACACAGCAGCACUUGCCUGGCCUGAGUGCACCUGAAAUCAGCACAAAACACAAGCCCCAGGCACCAGCAGAAGAAGAGGGGAAAGAGCUGUCCCCGCGGGUUCCCACCGGGGUGCCUGGCGGCCUCUUCUCCGAGCGCUGUCCCCUGGCUCCUCUCCACACUCUGCACAGCAUCUCCCACGCUUUCUGUCUGACCUGGAGCGGCCCGGGACACAGAACUGCCCCUUCCUCCAAACACAAGGCCCAUGGUCUUUUCUUCCAAGGACAUUGUGUAAAUUAGCAGGGCUGGGGAGAGGAGGGGAGAGAAAAUCCGAAUGGGGAGUGGGGGCCGCGCCCACGUCUGUGAAGAGGCCUUGCUGCUUCUCCCACAAAGGACCCAGAAAGGAGAGGCCGGGAGGGAGGGGCCCUG
Molecule: RNA transcript, 4152 nt
Organism: Aethalodelphis obliquidens (Pacific white-sided dolphin)
Lineage: Eukaryota; Metazoa; Chordata; Mammalia; Artiodactyla; Delphinidae
Exons: 3
Source: RefSeq, a predicted model, not a curated record